UGGCUAUGGACAUCGAACGCCUAUGACAGGCGACUAGACACCUUAGAGGGGCUAGCAGGUUUUACCAGUUGGCACACAUGCUAGGUUUUCGAAUGGGAGUAAUUGAGAACUCCGCCAGCGGUACCUCCGUAAUACACUAAACAGGCUUUUCGUACAACGUACUUAGCUGUACCGGGUAUAAGUACAGCCGCAGCAUACUCAUUAAAGCAAAGGAGACAGCGAACAAGUGCCCACUCGUGGAACCCAGCCCUCCCCUUCCGAUGGGUUUCGGUUUCAGACUGUCUACCAACGUCAUGACAGUAACGAGCUUCACCUCCUGCGUUUUGUUAUACAGAAGGCAAAUUUUCAUCAUGUGAACUUCAGUAAAAAGGAAAGAAAACGAAUCACAAGCACCACCUUCCAUUCUUGUUACCUUAACAGGGUGUGGUGUGCUAUACAUUCAAUUAAAGGCGGU
Long non-coding RNA from Ornithodoros turicata, 454 nucleotides. RefSeq lists it as uncharacterized. The transcript is spliced from 4 exons. The record is from RefSeq and is a predicted model, not a curated record. NCBI's taxonomy places the organism in Eukaryota, Metazoa, Arthropoda, Arachnida, Ixodida, Argasidae.